RNAcentral lists this long non-coding RNA (239 nucleotides) under Salvia miltiorrhiza (redroot sage). Its description in RNAcentral is "long non-coding RNA (SMIL_LNC012983)". Lineage: Eukaryota; Viridiplantae; Streptophyta; Magnoliopsida; Lamiales; Lamiaceae. The record is from RNAcentral.
UUGGUAGUUAGGAUAGUGGGGUUAUGCUGUCGAAAUUUUGUUAGAUUUCAAGUAAUUUAUUAUAUUUUAUUUGUUUUUUUCAAUUAGAAUUUGCAAGAAUGAGUGAUAAUCGUAUGUGGAUGUACGCGAGAUACAAUGAUUGUACUGCAUUUGAAACGGGGCUUGAGAGUUUCCUUGAGUGGGCGAGAAAUCAAACGGCGUACACAGAUGGAGAAGGUAACAUUAGGUGCCCGUGUAAG